This 1403-nucleotide ribosomal RNA is filed under the name uncultured bacterium. Its description in RNAcentral is "16S ribosomal RNA". It matches the Rfam family "Bacterial small subunit ribosomal RNA". The record is from RNAcentral.
AGAGUUUGAUCCUGGCUCAGGAUGAACGCUAGCGACAGGCUUAACACAUGCAAGUCGAGGGGCAGCGGGGGAGUAGCAAUACUCCCGCCGGCGACCGGCGCACGGGUGAGUAACACGUAUGAAACCUGCCCGUAGCAGGGGGAUAAGCGGAAGAAAUUCCGUCUAAUACCGCGUAACAACCCUUGGAGGCAUCUCCUCGGGUUUAAAGGGAGCGAUUCCGGCUACGGAUGGUCAUGCGUCGCAUUAGCUUGUUGGCGGGGUAACGGCCCACCAAGGCGACGAUGCGUAGGGGUUCUGAGAGGAAGGUCCCCCACACUGGUACUGAGACACGGACCAGACUCCUACGGGAGGCAGCAGUGAGGAAUAUUGGUCAAUGGCCGCAGGGCUGAACCAGCCAAGUCGCGUGAGGGAUGACGGCCCUACGGGUUGUAAACCUCUUUUGCCGGGGAGCAAAGAGCGGGACGCGUCCCGCCUCGAGAGUACCCGGAGAAAAAGCAUCGGCUAACUCCGUGCCAGCAGCCGCGGUAAUACGGAGGAUGCGAGCGUUAUCCGGAUUUAUUGGGUUUAAAGGGUGCGCAGGCGGAAUGUCAAGUCAGCGGUAAAAUUUCGGGGCUCAACCCCGUCGUGCCGUUGAAACUGGCGUUCUUGAGUGAGCGAGAAGUAUGCGGAAUGCGUGGUGUAGCGGUGAAAUGCAUAGAUAUCACGCAGAACUCCGAUUGCGAAGGCAGCAUACCGGCGCUCAACUGACGCUCAUGCACGAAAGCGUGGGUAUCGAACAGGAUUAGAUACCCUGGUAGUCCACGCAGUAAACGAUGAAUACUUACUGUCCGGGCAGAAUGAUGUCUGGGUGGUACAGCGAAAGCGUUAAGUAUUCCACCUGGGUAGUACGCCGGCAACGGUGAAACUCAAAGGAAUUGACGGGGGCCCGCACAAGCGGAGGAACAUGUGGUUUAAUUCGAUGAUACGCGAGGAACCUUACCCGGGCUCAAACGACGGAUGGAUGUUUUUGAAAGAAGGCAGCCCUUCGGGGCAUCCGUCGAGGUGCUGCAUGGUUGUCGUCAGCUCGUGCCGUGAGGUGUCGGCUUAAGUGCCAUAACGAGCGCAACCCCCAUCGCCAGUUACCAGCAAGUAAAGUUGGGGACUCUGGCGAGACUGCCGGCGCAAGCUGUGAGGAAGGCGGGGAUGACGUCAAAUCAGCACGGCCCUUACGUCCGGGGCGACACACGUGUUACAAUGGCAGGUACAGAGAGAAGCGAUGCGGCGACGCGGAGCGGAACUUCAAAGCCUGUCUCAGUUCGGAUUGGAGUCUGCAACCCGACUCCAUGAAGCUGGAUUCGCUAGUAAUCGCGCAUCAGCCACGGCGCGGUGAAUACGUUCCCGGGCCUUGUACUCACCGCCCGUCA